GCCCCUGUAGUUCAACGGAUAGAAUAGAGGUUUCCUAAACCUUAGAUUGGGGUUCGAUUCCCCACGGGGGUA
RNAcentral lists this transfer RNA (72 nucleotides) under Bacteroides sp. RNAcentral's name for it is "tRNA-Arg". It matches the Rfam family "tRNA". Rfam says of the family: Transfer RNA (tRNA) molecules are approximately 80 nucleotides in length. Their secondary structure includes four short double-helical elements and three loops (D, anti-codon, and T loops). The record is from RNAcentral. Lineage: Bacteria; Pseudomonadati; Bacteroidota; Bacteroidia; Bacteroidales; Bacteroidaceae.